GGACGGGUGGCUGAGUCUGUUUAAAGGCGCCUCACUUGAAAUGAGGCAAUGCUCCUCACAUUCCAGGGUUCAAAUCCCACGGACGUUUC
Non-coding RNA from Glomus cerebriforme, 89 nucleotides. NCBI's taxonomy places the organism in Eukaryota, Fungi, Glomeromycota, Glomeromycetes, Glomerales, Glomeraceae. The record is from the annotation of a GenBank genome assembly.